RNAcentral lists this non-coding RNA (18 nucleotides) under Arabidopsis thaliana (thale cress). Lineage: Eukaryota; Viridiplantae; Streptophyta; Magnoliopsida; Brassicales; Brassicaceae. The record is from RNAcentral.
UAACUAGCUACGUGGAGG